RNA transcript from Panicum virgatum (switchgrass), 1256 nucleotides. RefSeq lists it as uncharacterized. NCBI's taxonomy places the organism in Eukaryota, Viridiplantae, Streptophyta, Magnoliopsida, Poales, Poaceae. The record is from RefSeq and is a predicted model, not a curated record. The transcript is spliced from 3 exons.
UCUCCCUCUUUCUUAUAGCUAAUUAUAUUAUUCUCCACCUAGCUAGUAACUAGUAGCCGUACUACAAAUCAUUGUAUCUUUUCCCCCUAUUUUUUUAUGUGGGGGCUAGCUGCACUCGUCAAUUUGCUACUACUAGUUACCUGCAACAACUAUUUGGGAAAAAACAAAGUUGAUUCUUGAGCAAUGCAAUGUGUAAGCGUCUGUUUGGGAGGACUUCUUGAGUAGCUCCAAAACCGGCUUCUCAAUGAGCCCUACCAAACGGUGCUUCAGCUCAGUUUCGGCUCCGGCUCCAGCGACGAAGCCCCAGAAAACCCGGUGACAAGAGCAGGAGGGAGGGCAUGGAGCCAAAAAUUGCAGCUCCGCGUGGCUCCGGCGGCGGCUCCAUCUCGCGUGCCAUCUUUGCCCUCCGCUUGCGCGAUGCACGCCUCCUCGCGGACUCCUCUUGGCACGCGCUGCCGGGCGGCGCCGGAAGCCCGUGCCGCAGCGGGGCACGGCGGGGUCCGAGCAGCGCCGGGAGACCGUCCCGCGGCAGGGCACAGCGGGGGGUCGAGCGGCAGCAGCAGCCUGUGCCUGUGCGUCGGAGCAAGAUAAAAGAAGGGAGGAAGAAGCAGGUGGUGGCGGGAGGCUCUGCUCGUGGCCGUGCGUUGGAGCCAGAUGAAGGGAUGGAGGAGGAAGAAGUAUGGAUAAGGAGAGAGGAUUUGGAAGGGAAGAGAAAAAUAGAAUGAAAAAAAUAAAGGAGAGAAAGAUAAGGGGCAUCCAGGCUCUAUCAUCACAUCAAGCCCAUGGCAAUAGAGGCCACUUUGAACAUGGCUGCCAAGUGCCCUGAGCUCAAAGCCAAGGCACAGUUACCGCGCUGCACUUAUAAUCCUGCCUACAUCUUAUCACUUGGUCCUAGGCUGCGCGGAUGCAAUGGUUCUCGAAACAAUAAAGCUGGCCGUCUCCCAGCACAUGACCUUGCCCGUUCCUUCAUGCAGAAGAGGUAUAUAGUCCACGCAGGGAUUCUUCUCUGAUGUUCUUGCUCUUAGUACUCGUGCACUGAGGCUCCUUGCUUUGUUCAGGCCUCUGGUCAGUCACGAGAUAAAGCAUUCAGGUGUGCGUAUGUGAUGCUAAAUUCAGCAGUAGUAGCAUACUAGCAUAUAUCCUUUAAACAUAUACAGCAUGCAACUAUUAUAUGUUUUAUAUGUUUCGCAAGAAGCUUGCUACAGACUGAUUGAAUGGUAUUUAUGACAAUAAACUCACUAAGUAUUACCUAUUCA